GUUAACCACUGAGCCACAAAGGGAGCCCCCCAGUCUUCCUUAUUCAAACCUCUAUUUUCACUCACUCAAAGAACACGUGACAUAAGGGUCCUUUGCUUUGUCUGAAAAGGAUGGCCACUUUCCUAAAAAACUAACAGGUUUGGUUAUGCUUUCUGUAAAUAUAAUCUUUCAAAGGCCUAGUGCUCUGAAUUUAGUCCCUAUCACAGGCCAUGUACAAAUGUGAGCAUGCCUGCUAGAUUUAACCCAUCACUCCAGACACCACACACCAGAUAUCACACACUUUCUGCCAUAGAGCACAGAAAAACCAUUUUGAGAGCUGACUCAAAUGGGCUUCUGCUUUCUUCAGGAAAGUGCUGGUUGUGUUCAGGUGAAAACCUUCUCAGCUCCCAAUAAGAGUUAGGAAGGACAGCAGCCAGUGAAAUAUGCCUGCCCUACAGAUUAUCAUCUGGGACAAAAUCUACCCACCUGCGCUUUGGUAGGAUAUCCUUCUUGAGGAGAUAUUGUCUGGCCACAGGUAUGCCUUCUCUCAUUCACAGUGGAGACACGGAUCUUAAGCAGGCUAAGCCAUUCGAUGGCUUUGAGUACUGUUUCAUGUCUUAAACAAGAAACCUCAGGCUUCCUUAUUCAAACUUCUACUGCACUCACUCAAAGAACACAUGGCAUGAGGGUGCUUCGCUGUGUCUGAAAAGGUCACCCACUUUCCUAAAAGAAUGGGUUUGAUCAUGCUUUCUGUAAAUACAAUCUUUCAAACACCUGGCACUCUGAAUUUAACUCCAUAUCACAUGCCAUGUACAAAAGCUGCUCGAUUUUACCAAUCACUCCCGAUGUCAGAUGCCAGGGGUAGCACUUCCAUUCACGGAAGAACACAGAAAAACCUUUCUGAGAGCUGACUAGAAAGAGCUAUUGUUUCUUCAGGAAAUUUUUCAUUGCAUAAGGGUGAAACACUUCUCAGCUCCCAGUAACAGUUAGGUGUUUGUACUGAGGAAUGAAACCAGCAAGAAUAUGCCUGCCUUAUGGAUUAAAACCUGAGAAGGGAAAUCUGCUCGCUUGAGAUUUGGGUAGGAAGAUCCUUCCAGAAGAAGGAUUCUAUGGGCCCAAGAUUGCCCUCUCUUAUUCACAGUGGAAUCACAGCUCUUAACCGAGUUAGGCUGUUCAUCCACUUUCAGUAUUGUGACAUGUCUUAAAAGAACUUCAUGUUUCCUUAUUCAAAGCUCUAGUUCACUCAAAGAACACAUGGCAUAAGGUUUGCCACAUACCUAAAAGAACUAACAGUUUGGUUAGGCUUUCUGUAAAGCAAACCUUUCAGAUGGCGAGCACACUGAGUUUAGCUCCAAUUCACAAGCCAGGUACAAAAGUGAGCAGGCCUGCCAGAUUUUACCAGUCACUCCAGAUACCACAAAUCACACAUAGCACUUUCAUUCCUACAUGAAGACUGUUAGAUAAACUGAUUUGGCAUCUGACUCAAAAGAUUUUCUCUUUUCUCUUGGAAAGUACUCAUUGUGUAAGUGUGAAAAAGUUCAUCAGCUCUGAAUAUGAGUUAGGUGUUGGCAGUGAGGACAGCAACUGGCAAGAUGAUGCUUUCUGUAAAGCAACCUUCUCCAAUGCCAAGCACUCCGAGUUUAUCUCCAUAUCACAUGCCAUUUACAAGAGCGGGCAGGCUUUCCCGAUUUUUGUCAAUCACUCCAGAUGUAACAGACCAGGUACAGCACUUUCCUUCAUGGAGGAUCACUGUUACAAAAACUGAUUUGGGAACUGGCUCGGAAUGGUCUCUGGUUUCUCUUGGAAUGUUUUCAUUGCAUAAAGGUGAAAAAGUUCUCAGCUCUUAAUAUCAGGUAUUUGUAUCGAGACAGCAACCCGGAAGGAUAUGUCUGCACUAUAAAUUAAAACCUGCUGCUUGAGCCUGGAGUAGGAAGCUCUUUCCAGAAGUAUUCUCUGGUGCAAGAUUUCCCUCUCUUAUCCUCAAUGGAAACACAGAUCUCAAGCAGCCUAGGCUGUUCAUCUUAGAGUUCUGUAGCAUGGCUUAAUGAACAAUCUUCAACCUUCCUUAUUCAAACCUCUGUUUCACUCACCAAAGGAAGACACUGCAUAAGCGUGCUUGGUUCUCACUAAAAAGUUUUGCCACCUCUCUUAACAAACUAACAAGUUUUAUUAUGCUUUGUGUAAGGUGAACUUUUCAAAUGGAGAGCAUUCUGAGUUAAGCUCCCUAUCCCAAGCCAGGUCCCAAAGCGAGCAGGCCGCCAGAUUUUAUGAAUCACUCCAGAUAUCUCAGACCGGGUAUAACACUUCCCUUCAUAGAAGAACACUGCUGAAUAAACUGAUUUGGGAACAGACUCGAAAUGGUUUCCGAUUUCUCUAGUAAUGAGCAAGUUCGCAGCUUUUAGUAUUACUGAGUUAUUGGCAUUGAGGGGCGCAAACAGCAAGAACAUGCCUGCACUAGGAAUUGAAACCUGAGAAAGAAAUCAUGCCUGCUUGAGCUUCUGUAGGAGGCUCCUUCCAGAAGAAAUAUUCCCUGGGUGCAGAGUUGCCCUCUCUUAUUCACAGUGGAAACACAGAUCAUAAGCAGGCCAGGCUCUUCCUCUGUUUUCAGUACUGCGACACGUCUUAAGGAAAACACUCCAGGCCAGGCAUCCCCUGCUGCAGGGCCGUGCCCUGGUCUCACCCGGCCUCCUCUCUUGGUUGUGGAACUCCAAAGCCGAGGCAGAGCACAGGGAAGGCUGCCCUAGCAGCUGCGAAGACUCCUUUUGUGCUGGGGACACUUUCAUCUUGUCCACUCUGGCCAGACUUCCACUCUGAGGAGACAACUCUGGAGGACCAGGAAGAGGGUGUUUGGAGAGUCACAACCCAGCCCCGCCAGCCACCGAAGAGGUUGGAGAAAGCUGGCUUGAUAAAAUAAUUUUUCCAAAAUUCUGAUCCUGUGAGAACAAAAAUGAGCCGAGGAGAAAACUUGAAGUUAACUCUUAUCGUGACCUUGAAAUAUAAAUGCAGUCCACUUGGCCUGAGACUUUGGCCUUGGGUUAAAUAGUAGAACUUCAAUCAAAAAUAAAUAAAUAAAUAAAUAAACAGGAAGAGGCUUUUAAAAGCUCAAGAAUGUGUUGUUUCAGGGGCCAGUAUCAUUCAAGGCCAUGGCUGUGAAUUUCACCCAGGAGGAGUGGCAGUAUCUGGACCCCCCUCAGAGGGAUCUGUACAAAGACAUGAUGCUCGACAACUAUAUCAGCCUCAUCUCAGUGGGUACAAAUGGGCACCUUCAUCAGGCAGUCCCUAAUACAGUUGAGAGUUCAAGGUUCCUGAAGCCCGGGUAGCUAAGUCCAUCUCCCUCAUCAUUUCCCACUGGCAGGAUAUCAAACCACCAAGCCUGCUGUGAUCCACGAGUUGGAACAAGGAGAAGAACCAUGGAUGAUGGAGAGAGAAAUCCCAAGUUGGAGAUUUAGGUGGGUUGGGGAAGAGUUGUAUGCGUGGAAGUGAAGGCAGUAAGUUCAGAGUCGGUCAGUGAGGGCUGGCAUCUUUGAGAAAUAUGCUUCAGACUCCCUUCUUAAAGGCCUUGGGCCUUUGAAAAUGACUGGGGACAAUUAACAUAAUAAGUUUCAUAUCUACCUGAACACCAUUUCUGUGGACCGCCUUCCCGUGUUAAUCUGUUUUCGUAUGGCUAUUAAAGAAUUACAUUUUCCCCUUAAGGUGUAUCGUACCUGUGAUUCCUAUCAACUUCAUUUAAGACCUCGAUGAGACAUUUUUGUCUGUUAAAAUUGUGGCAGAGUUCCCCAGUGGUUCAGUGGGAUAAAGAUCCUUCUUUUUCACUACUGUGGUGUGGGUGUGAUCCCAGGUUCCCAGGCCCAGGAACUUGUGCAUGCCAUGGGCGAGGCCAAAAAACAAAACAAAACAAAACCAAAUAAAAUUGUGGCAAAAUAUAGACAACAUAGGAUUUACCUGUUGGCUCAGAGGGUUAAGGAUCUGGUGUUGUCACUGCUAUGGUGCAGGUUCGAUCCCUGGCAGGUGGGACGUCCACAUGCCACAGGAGUGGCCAAAAAAUAGUUAAGUAAAGUAAAAACGCGUCCAAAAUUAUUUUUAAAAAUAUAGACAACAUAAAAUUGACCAUUUUAACCAUUUUUAAAUGUACAGUUUAGUGGUAUUACGUAAGUUUGCAUUGUUGUGCCACUGUCACCACCAUUCAUCUCUAGAACACUUUCAUCAUCAAACUAAAACCCUACACCCAUUAAAUAAUAAUGCUGUGUUCCAUCUUCCCCAUCCACUGGUAACCACUAUUCAACUUUCUAUUACUAUGAAUUUGACUCUUCUAGAUACCUCCUCAUAUAAGUGGAAUCUUAGAAUAUUUGUCUCAUGUAUACUUUAUUUCACUUAGCAUAAUAUCUUCAGAGUUCAUCCAUGUUGUAGCAUGUGUCAGAAUUUCAUUCCUUUACUGGCUGAAUAAUAUUCCAUUGUAAUGUAUAUAACAUUUUAUUUAUCCAUUCAUCUACUGGUGAACAACUGAGCUGUUACUACCUUUUGGUUAUUGUGAAUAAUGCUUCUAUAAACAUUGAUGUACAAAUAUCUGUUUGAGUUCCUGCUUUCAGUUCUUCCAGGUACAUACUCAGAAGUGAAACUGCUGAAUCAUGUGAUAAUUCUCUGUUUACAUUUUUAAGGAAUUACUGUGAUAUUUUCCACAGCUACUGCACAGUUUUACAUUCCCACCAAAAUGUAUAAGGGUUCCAGUUUCUCCACAUCCUCAACAACACUUGUUAUU
Non-coding RNA from Sus scrofa (pig), 4735 nucleotides. NCBI's taxonomy places the organism in Eukaryota, Metazoa, Chordata, Mammalia, Artiodactyla, Suidae. The record is from RefSeq and is a predicted model, not a curated record.